AACGCGAAGAACCUUACCUACCCUUGACAUCCCUGGAAUGCUGUAGAGAUAUGGUAGUGCCGAAAGGAGCCAGGAGACAGGUGCUGCAUGGCUGUCGUCAGCUCGUGUUGUGAGAUGUUGGGUUAAGUCCCGUAACGAGCGCAACCCUUAUCCUUAGUUGCCAACAUAUCAUGGUGGGGACUCUAAGGAGACUGCUGGUGAUGAACCGGAGGAAGGCGGGGACGACGUCAAGUCAUCAUGGCCUUUAUGGGUAGGGCUACACACGUGCUACAAUGGGCGGUACAGAGGGUAGCGAAGCCGCGAGGUGAAGCCAAUCCCAAAAAGCCGUUCGUAGUCCGGAUUGAAGUCUGCAACUCGACUUCAUGAAGUCGGAAUCGCUAGUAAUCGCGAAUCAGAAUGUCGCGGUGAAUACGUUCCCGGGCCUUGUACACACCGCUCGUC
RNAcentral lists this ribosomal RNA (441 nucleotides) under uncultured bacterium. RNAcentral describes it as "bacterial SSU rRNA". It matches the Rfam family "Bacterial small subunit ribosomal RNA", at positions 958 to 1398 of the family's 1533-position model. The record is from RNAcentral.